UUCCUCAGCAUGCACUGGCUCAAAAACCGGUUCAAGUAACUUUGGUAAUUGCUCAUCUACUAGAACUCAUAAAAAGAUCCAAUGCUUUCACAAUGAUUCUACAUAAUAAAACUGAGGGUGAAAUUGUUCAUCAUGACUCAAACAGAAGAACAAGAUGGAAAUAGAUUCUUCACUUCUGUCAAAGCUUUCCAUUUAAUAUACCAUAACUUCUGAAUGUGUUCCAUUCCAAUCUUCCACUUGGAUCCAAUAGAAGUUCAAAGCCAUUAGAAUAGCUAAGCAUUACCUCAGCAUGAAUGACAGGGAUAAACCCUCAAAGAAAGUACAAGAUGGUGGCAGUAGAUCCUUCCUUGAUGUGAUGUUUUCAGUCAAUUCUUCUAUUAGAUGCGGCAACAUGAAAACUUCAUCUGCUAGAUUCUUUGUUAUCCAAUCUUCUAACACCCUUAAUUGAGAUUCUUUAUUGUUGCUACAAUCAGCAAACAGAAGCUUGAUAAUGGGGAGCAGAUCCAACUUUAAUGUUGAUUUCUCGCUGCACUCUGCAUCUAAACAGUUACCAGUGCAGUACCAUGAAUUAGGAUUUAAAAGAACAACUUGCAGCAUGGGAGAUUUGGUUGUCAAAUCCCUGACCACAGUCCGGAAUGACAACUCAUCUUUUGCACUUUCCAUUAGUUGAUUUGCGAACAUUUUCUCCAAAGUAUAUUUCCUGAAUAAGUCAUCUGAUCUACCAACUGACAAAGAAGUGGAAAGGUAACAUUUCAAAAGUCUAACUCCAUUAUCUACAGGGAAAUCACCGUUAGCACAGGGAUAAGCUCCGAGAACAGUUGAACAGUGAGGGCAAACAAAAUGUUUCCACUCAAUAUCCGUAGAAAGAUUAUAAGAUCUAGCCAUAAAAACAUUUCCAAGAAACCCAUUAAGAAAAGAUCUCCUAUUUGCCAUGGCCUCCACAGCUUUACUAGUCUUCUGGUCCGCUAAUGAAAGUUUAGACACCUCAUGUGUGCUUACAUCAACAUAGUCUUGAGCAGGAUGUGUUGAAUUGCAAAAUCCAGAUUCUGAUGCUACAUUUUCAGAGAGAUCUG
RNAcentral lists this unclassified non-coding RNA (1073 nucleotides) under Hevea brasiliensis (rubber tree). The record is from RNAcentral. Lineage: Eukaryota; Viridiplantae; Streptophyta; Magnoliopsida; Malpighiales; Euphorbiaceae.